CCAGACAGGCUCUUCCUCCCCGAAACCAGCACCUGCACGUGGCAAGCGUGAAACGCCCCGUGCUGGCCCCAAACCUGCUGGUUUUAGGGCAGCACCACGGCCGGCUGAGCAGCAGGGACAGCUGUGGGCUGAUUCACGCUGCAUUUCCUCCACACCUCCCUCAAACCCCUGUGAUUUCUGCAUGGAGCUGCCCAGGCCGGCAGCGGGCUCGUCCCACUCAGGUGACCCAAUGGAGCCAGAACCAGGAGCCCGAAGACCACGCUGCGGGUGCUGAGAGCUGCCUUUCCUGUCUGCUUCAGUCCUAUGCUCAGCCACAGCGAGGUUAAGUGCAGCAGAACAGAACUGCCUAAAGUGGAAAUGGGCUGGGACCGGAGAGCGGAGACUUGCCGCCCUAGAGACCUCCACUGGGCUGCGGCGAGAGGAGCGUGGGACCUCUGUUUCCAUCAAACCUGGUGCUGCCGCAAGGUAGAAGGAGCUGCAGGGGGCUUUCUGAUGUGCAGAAAGCCACACGUUGCGCUGCUGGCGACAGCGGGAGGCUGGGCAGGGGCUGCAUGUCACCACAGGGAUACUGUCACCCAGGUGGGGCAAUGUGCCUCGGUCUGGCCUGAGCACCGUGCCCACCCAGCGGGCUGGGAUGGGGGCUUGUGGGGGCUGCCUGCCUCCCUUCUUCCUUGGGUUUUUUUUGGAGCACAUUGAGGCUUUCAUGUGCCGUAUGGAGGUUUGGUGUGUGGGAUGGUGGGGAGGGGACAGCAAGGCUUGGGGGAGCAGAGACAAAGGAGGGAGGCAGCGGGGCGUGCUGGGGGGAUUGCCAUGGCAACUCGAGCUUUUGGCAGCCUGUGCCGUGGCGCCGGGCCAGCUGUGCAUCCCACUGCAGCCCUGGCCCCCUCCUGCUGUGGGCUCUGUGCCCCACUGGCCCCUGCAGCCAUCCUCCCCAGGGAGCAGCUUCAGGGCGAGUGGCUGUGGUACUUUGUCUGGCUCAGGCAGCUCCUGUUUGCUCAGGUUGAAGCCUUGAGUUGCAGAGCAGGCCCAGCCGGAGGGAAACCGGUCUUCUAAGCCCUCUCACUGAAUCAUGGAGGGCAGCGUGGCAUUCUGCUGCCAUUGCUCAUCCUCGGUUAAUCAAUGUAAGUGGGUCCUGCCGUGCCUGCAUCUUUCAAAGAUGCCGAGCCCCGUACCGCACCGUACAUCUCGCACAGGCGGUUUGCCUUGCUGUGGGGUAGCUGUACUCUGAUGGAGAGCAGACACUGAUGAGCCCUGUGAUAUGGUGUGAGACCAUCCUCUGGGCAGGUAAGGGAGGCAUUGAGCAAUUCUGAAGCUGCUUUUGGGAAGACCCCUUGCCAGAGGCUGGCAUAGGGCCAGCUCCUGGUACUAAAGGAAGCAGGGAACAUCAUUGCCAUUCAUAUGGCUGCAUGGAGAGAAGGGGUCAGGAAGUCAGGCUCCAGCCUGGCCAUAAUGCGAGUGUGACUGAGACCUGACCUGUCAUCUGUCAAGUACCUAAAGCCUUGGGUAUGAGCCAGGGGAACGGGACUGGCUGGUCGCAAGCACAGCUUGCCCAUCUUGACACGGAUCACUGCGUGAGCUGUAAACCUCUCUCGUUACACCUUCCAAAGGUCAGUGCUCGCUGUGAAUUACAGUGCUCUGCCCCCAGCCCAGCACGAGGGAGGAAGGAGCCUGCCCUGCCUUCAGAGGAUGCUCUGAA
Anser brachyrhynchus (Pink-footed goose) is the source of this 1696-nucleotide long non-coding RNA. Lineage: Eukaryota; Metazoa; Chordata; Aves; Anseriformes; Anatidae. The record is from Ensembl.